AGAAAACUUUCAACGGUGGAUAUCUAGGUUCCCGUGACGAUGAAGAACGCAGCGAAAUGCGAUACGCAAUGCGAAUUGCAGAACCGCGAGUCAUCAGAUCUUUGAACGCAAGUGGUGGAGGUGUAAAAACCUUCAUGUUUGUUUCAGUGUGGAA
This 154-nucleotide ribosomal RNA is filed under the name Tetrahymena thermophila. RNAcentral describes it as "5.8S rRNA". It matches the Rfam family "5.8S ribosomal RNA". From Rfam's summary of the family: 5.8S ribosomal RNA (5.8S rRNA) is a component of the large subunit of the eukaryotic ribosome. It is transcribed by RNA polymerase I as part of the 45S precursor that also contains 18S and 28S rRNA. Functionally, it is thought that 5.8S rRNA may be involved in ribosome translocation. The record is from RNAcentral. Lineage: Eukaryota; Ciliophora; Oligohymenophorea; Hymenostomatida; Tetrahymenidae.